ACCCAUAAACUUUAUAUCUUAGCUUUGCCUUGAAUUGGAGACACAAAUUAUGGUUUAAAGUUAAUAGCUUAUAUCUAUUGACUAAAAUAAGACCUUAAUUAACCAUGGUUAGAAUAACAAAUUCCCUCCUAUAUCCAAAAAUCCCAUAUUCCUCCCUCUUCCCGCCAAAAUACAUCUGCUCUCAAAAGUUUGAAAACACCGAAAAUCAUUUCACCAGAUAAAGUCUUUCAGAGUUUUAACAUGGAAAUCAAGUUUCUGAAGAUCAUUGUUAGAUUAAAAAUCAAUAGAAUUGAAUACAAGAAGUGGAAAAAAACAGAGAACAAAACAGCAAGUCGUGGAGCUCCAUUUUCGCUCGAAAAAUACUAACAAAUUCUCACCAGAAAAUUUCUGAUAGAGGCGGAAAAGAGACAAGAAUAUAGAAAAUAGAAGGAAGAUGAAGAAGAAGGCUUGAGCGUGAUAUGAUUACUGUCUCAAAAGAGUGAUCGUCUGUCCAUUGGGUCAGAAGCGGAGCUAAAAUUUGAAAUUUAUGGGUUCUGAAUUCGUCGCCGAACCCAUAACUUGUCUUAGCUAUUGGGUUCACAGUUAAAUAUUUAUACAUAUUUUAUACAUUUUUCUAAUACAAAUACUGGGUUUAAGCAAAAGCUAUUGGGUUCGUCAAACCCAUAGUUACUGCUCUCCCUCCGCCCCUGUUAAUGGGGUUAGCAGACAAUGCUCACAAUGCUCUUCUGGGAAUACAACAAGCUAAGCCUGUUACCAAUUAUUUCUCUCGCAUACCUCAAAAUAAUUCUUGAAAUCAUAUUUUACUCAAGGUACUUGAAAAUUAAUUCUUUUAGUAAAUCUAUUUUAACUCAUGUUACCUGAGAAUAUACUAUCAUUUCACUCCAAUAUUACGAACUCUAUGACACCUCUUCCUUUGGCUAAAGUUUACUUUAUUCAAGGUCUCAUGUUGGUUUCGAGAUGGAUAAUUCGUCUCGUUAUUAUAAUUUUGGACAACCUCACUUCAAAAGUUAGCUUCUGUAUUCAGUUAGGUCUAAGGUCCAUUUCUUAAUAUGGUCCACGCUCUAGAGGUCCAGUCCUAAGCGUCAGGAUGCCGGUGUUAAAAGUCCCACGGAUCGAUUGUGUGACACAUAAUUGUUCUUCUUAUAUAUAUGGUGUUAGACAAUCUUCACUUCACAACUUUUGGGGUUGAGUUAGACCAACGUAAUUCCAUAUGUGCUAUUGCAAUUUUUUUUGUACACAAAAUGAUCCUAUAGGCUACAACAACGAUCUGCACAUUUUCUGCAAAACUCUGGCAUAUAGAUUACAAAUAAUUCACAAGAUUUGUGCCUUGAUAUUCGUAUAUACUUCGAUAUUUAUUCUACAAUGGACAAUGGCCUUGAGUUUACUAGCAACAAGGCAUCGUUUACUUCUUUGAUUAAGAUUACCAGGAUAGACGACUUAUAUUAUUUUAUCUUAUUUCCAACUGUUCAAUCACUUUCUUUGCAAGUAUUUUAUAAUUUAUAACCAAAGUCAGAUACUUGAAGCAAUUGGGGUAAUUGACAAUUUGUUGAUAUUUGCAUUGGCUUGCGUAGCUAGCCUUUGCAUGUCGAGAGAGUGACAUCACAGGCGGACCCACACUAUAGGGAUAGGGGUAUACAUGUUAAUCGGGCCGGGCUGACCCGUUUUCAGCCCGCUUCAACCCGGGGCAGCCCGGUUCAGCCCGCUACUGUAGCAUAUAGGGCGGGCUGGGACGGGUUGGACGGGGAGCGAGUUUUAGACGAACACAUUUUGGAUACCGGUGCACCGAAACCUGCUAAGCCCGCUAACCCGUUAACGGGUUGUUAACGGGCUGCAGCCCGGUUCAGCCCGUUAAUGGGUUAAAUUUUUAUUUUUUUUUAAUUUGUGUACCAUUGCUAACAAAAUUUAAUUAAAAAAAAAAAAUUUAGCACAGCCCGCCCGAGCCCGUUUAAGCCCGAACCUGUACGGGCCCACAAAAACCCGCAAAAACACAACCCACUAACAGCCCGCUAUCCCCAACCCGCUAAUCGAACGGGCUGGGGUUUUUCCCGUUCAGCCCGUCCCAGCCCGCCCGAUAAACACCUAUAGAUAGGGGUCACCAGCCCCCGGAAAUUUCGGUAAAAACCCUAUGUAUACUUGCAAAUAUCUUUAAGAAAUAGUCAAAUAUUAGUAUAGCCUCCCGUAUCCAUCUUUAUGAGCAGUAAUAAAUUUAUAUUGAAUGUUAUGGUGUCCCCGCGACUGCUGAAUCCUGGUCCGAUCUGAGUGACAUUGAGAAUAUCUCACAAUUUUGGGCAUCUACUCCAUCUGAUUCAAAUAAGUAUCGUUUAAGAUUUUGACAUACCCUUUAAGAAAACUACCAAACAAUUUGAAACAAACUGUUUCAAAUUAAAGAUACGUACCAAACCAUGUAACUUUAAACCCUAGUUCAGUUAACUCAAGUGAAUUAAUUAAACUCAAAGAAAGGGAAUCCCUAUGCGUUUUACUCUGUUUCAGCUCCGUUUUGUCAAACCAAAAAAGAACAAUUUCUCACAAAAGCUUCACUUUGCUUCUAACUUCUACUAUGUGUUAGCUUCUUUCUUGAUAAGAUUUGAUUAAUUUUAUUUUUCCUAUGCUUUUCGAUAUUUUCUCCUUUCUCUACAUGUAUACAUAGAGGUAGCACGCAGGGGCUGAUUCAGGGGGAAGGAAGGGUGUUCACCCGAACCCCGUUCGCCGAAAAAUUAUACGUAAUCCUGCCUUCGCCACUGGUGGCAUGUAUGAUGAUCCAUAGUUUUCUUUUUCUUCUUGAAGCACGACGAAUCGUUACAGCAACUCUUUCUCUUUCUGCUUCUCUUGAGUUAACGGGGACGGAUCUAGAGGGUCGGCUAAGAGUUCACGUGAUUUCAGUAAUCUUUGC
Molecule: long non-coding RNA, 2890 nt
Organism: Nicotiana attenuata
Lineage: Eukaryota; Viridiplantae; Streptophyta; Magnoliopsida; Solanales; Solanaceae
Exons: 3
Source: RefSeq, a predicted model, not a curated record